This is a long non-coding RNA of Salvelinus fontinalis (brook trout), 1327 nucleotides long. RefSeq lists it as uncharacterized. The transcript has 2 exons. The record is from RefSeq and is a predicted model, not a curated record. NCBI's taxonomy places the organism in Eukaryota, Metazoa, Chordata, Actinopteri, Salmoniformes, Salmonidae.
GUCUUUGAGUCAACAGACUUUGACAGCAGUGAUGAACGCUGUCUUAGGCCAACCAGAACACAGGCUGCGAAAGGAAAUAAAGACUAACCUCCAGUGACAGUAAUCACACAUAAAUCAGCAUCUCCAAAACAGUUGGAUGGAUGGUCAAAAACUUUGAACCAUCCACGAGACGUGGGUAACAGAGUUGUACAGGUUCCGAGUGAAACCAACAACAUUAUUUGUUCAGCAGAAGACAAACCUGGUGUGUGUCAUUAUUGUGGGAUUUCUGGUCACUGGCAACGAGAACGUCGGAACGAAAACGUGUCUUUAUGAGAAGUGGCCAGGAGAAGAAGGGUCCGUCUAAGGGAAAAUGGACGUGUCUUUAUGAGAAGUGGCCAGGAGAAGAAGGGUCCGUCUAAGGGAAAAUGGACGUGUCUUUAUGAGAAGUGGCCAGGAGAAGAAGGGUCCGUCUAAGGGAAAAUGGACGUGUCUUUAUGAGAAGUGGCCAGGAGAAGAAGGGUCCGUCUAAGGGAAAAUGGAAACAGGACAACAGCCCCAACAACACAAUGCUGAUGCAGAAAUUUAAGAAGCUCUCUCCGGCUGCUGUGGAGGUUAUGAGAAUCUAUCGUCUGAGGCUGCAGCAAUAUUCCUUGACCCGAGGCCUGUACCUGAAACGAUACAAGAUCACCGGUGAAGUGUUCAUUAGAGAUGUCCUUAUCAACCAGUGUAACGGAAGAAUAAUUCCUCACUACCGGCAGACUGUCAGAAUAUAAUCUUUAAUAGUUAUCUAUGUGGGACUGAUACCAGUGUGGAAGAGCUGGUCACUUUUAAAGGACUUGGUGAAUGAUUACCUUGCUAAUAGGACGAUUGAAUAUUAUUGUCUUGCAGACAGUUAUUUAUUUUGUGAGUUUCCUCCUAAUACAGGAUGUGAUAGGAAUCGUAAGGGACAUCAUCAUUACACCUGUUAAUGCUUAUUUUCUAUAACUUUGUUUGAAAUUGAUGUCUUAUUGUAACAGCAAGUAAAAUAUGCCCUUUGUGCUUUCUAGAAAUGCAAGGUGUUUCAUGCAAAUGAUUUUAUGCUUACUGCUUGUUUUUUAUACUGUCUAUUUUUUCAUGUUUUCUAUUGUUUUCUAAAAAGACAUUUGAAGUAUAUAUUUUUUUUAAAUGUUCUAAGGGGAGUGUAAGAAUAUUUAAAGAUCAAUACACAAUGCAGAGGACUAAAGGCCAAGAGGACUAAAAGUCAAGAGAGGACUAAAGGUCAAGAGGACUAAAAGUCAAGAGAGUACUAACGAUCAAUGGAAAUAGUGUUUUUUUUGUAAAAGGGAAUUAAUAAACAAUGGGUCAGAGA